RNAcentral lists this ribosomal RNA (2825 nucleotides) under Klebsiella pneumoniae. Its description in RNAcentral is "bacterial LSU rRNA". It matches the Rfam family "Bacterial large subunit ribosomal RNA". Lineage: Bacteria; Pseudomonadati; Pseudomonadota; Gammaproteobacteria; Enterobacterales; Enterobacteriaceae. The record is from RNAcentral.
GGGUUGUGAGGUUAAGCGACUAAGCGUACACGGUGGAUGCCCUGGCAGUCAGAGGCGAUGAAGGACGUGCUAAUCUGCGAAAAGCGUCGGUAAGGUGAUAUGAACCGUUAUAACCGGCGAUGUCCGAAUGGGGAAACCCAGUGCAAUUCGUUGCACUAUCGUUAACUGAAUACAUAGGUUAACGAGGCGAACCGGGGGAACUGAAACAUCUAAGUACCCCGAGGAAAAGAAAUCAACCGAGAUUCCCCCAGUAGCGGCGAGCGAACGGGGAGCAGCCCAGAGUCUGAAUCAGCUUGUGUGUUAGUGGAACGGUCUGGAAAGUCCGACGGUACAGGGUGAUAGUCCCGUACACCAAAAUGCACAGGCUGUGAACUCGAAGAGUAGGGCGGGACACGUGGUAUCCUGUCUGAAUAUGGGGGGACCAUCCUCCAAGGCUAAAUACUCCUGACUGACCGAUAGUGAACCAGUACCGUGAGGGAAAGGCGAAAAGAACCCCGGCGAGGGGAGUGAAAAAGAACCUGAAACCGUGUACGUACAAGCAGUGGGAGCACCUUCGGGUGUGACUGCGUACCUUUUGUAUAAUGGGUCAGCGACUUAUAUUCUGUAGCAAGGUUAACCGUAUAGGGGAGCCGCAGGGAAACCGAGUCUUAACUGGGCGUUAAGUUGCAGGGUAUAGACCCGAAACCCGGUGAUCUAGCCAUGGGCAGGUUGAAGGUUGGGUAACACUAACUGGAGGACCGAACCGACUAAUGUUGAAAAAUUAGCGGAUGACUUGUGGCUGGGGGUGAAAGGCCAAUCAAACCGGGAGAUAGCUGGUUCUCCCCGAAAGCUAUUUAGGUAGCGCCUCGUGAAUUCAUCUUCGGGGGUAGAGCACUGUUUCGGCUAGGGGGUCAUCCCGACUUACCAACCCGAUGCAAACUACGAAUACCGAAGAAUGUUAUCACGGGAGACACACGGCGGGUGCUAACGUCCGUCGUGAAGAGGGAAACAACCCAGACCGCCAGCUAAGGUCCCAAAGUCAUGGUUAAGUGGGAAACGAUGUGGGAAGGCACAGACAGCCAGGAUGUUGGCUUAGAAGCAGCCAUCAUUUAAAGAAAGCGUAAUAGCUCACUGGUCGAGUCGGCCUGCGCGGAAGAUGUAACGGGGCUAAACCAUGCACCGAAGCUGCGGCAGCGACACUAUGUGUUGUUGGGUAGGGGAGCGUUCUGUAAGCCUGCGAAGGUGUGCUGUGAGGCAUGCUGGAGGUAUCAGAAGUGCGAAUGCUGACAUAAGUAACGAUAAAGCGGGUGAAAAGCCCGCUCGCCGGAAGACCAAGGGUUCCUGUCCAACGUUAAUCGGGGCAGGGUGAGUCGACCCCUAAGGCGAGGCCGAAAGGCGUAGUCGAUGGGAAACAGGUUAAUAUUCCUGUACUUGGUGUUACUGCGAAGGGGGGACGGAGAAGGCUAUGUUAGCCGGGCGACGGUUGUCCCGGUUUAAGCAUGUAGGCUGGUUAUCCAGGCAAAUCCGGAUAAUCAAGGCUGAGGUGUGAUGACGAGGCACUACGGUGCUGAAGUAACAAAUGCCCUGCUUCCAGGAAAAGCCUCUAAGCAUCAGGUAACAUUAAAUCGUACCCCAAACCGACACAGGUGGUCAGGUAGAGAAUACCAAGGCGCUUGAGAGAACUCGGGUGAAGGAACUAGGCAAAAUGGUGCCGUAACUUCGGGAGAAGGCACGCUGGUGUGUAGGUGAAGUCCCUGCGGAUGGAGCUGAGACCAGUCGAAGAUACCAGCUGGCUGCAACUGUUUAUUAAAAACACAGCACUGUGCAAACACGAAAGUGGACGUAUACGGUGUGACGCCUGCCCGGUGCCGGAAGGUUAAUUGAUGGGGUUAUCCGUAAGGAGAAGCUCUUGAUCGAAGCCCCGGUAAACGGCGGCCGUAACUAUAACGGUCCUAAGGUAGCGAAAUUCCUUGUCGGGUAAGUUCCGACCUGCACGAAUGGCGUAAUGAUGGCCAGGCUGUCUCCACCCGAGACUCAGUGAAAUUGAACUCGCUGUGAAGAUGCAGUGUACCCGCGGCAAGACGGAAAGACCCCGUGAACCUUUACUAUAGCUUGACACUGAACAUUGAGCCUUGAUGUGUAGGAUAGGUGGGAGGCUUUGAAGCGUGGACGCCAGUCUGCGUGGAGCCAACCUUGAAAUACCACCCUUUAAUGUUUGAUGUUCUAACGUUGGCCCCUGACCGGGGUUGCGGACAGUGUCUGGUGGGUAGUUUGACUGGGGCGGUCUCCUCCCAAAGCGUAACGGAGGAGCACGAAGGUUAGCUAAUCCUGGUCGGACAUCAGGAGGUUAGUGCAAUGGCAUAAGCUAGCUUGACUGCGAGCGUGACGGCGCGAGCAGGUGCGAAAGCAGGUCAUAGUGAUCCGGUGGUUCUGAAUGGAAGGGCCAUCGCUCAACGGAUAAAAGGUACUCCGGGGAUAACAGGCUGAUACCGCCCAAGAGUUCAUAUCGACGGCGGUGUUUGGCACCUCGAUGUCGGCUCAUCACAUCCUGGGGCUGAAGUAGGUCCCAAGGGUAUGGCUGUUCGCCAUUUAAAGUGGUACGCGAGCUGGGUUUAGAACGUCGUGAGACAGUUCGGUCCCUAUCUGCCGUGGGCGCUGGAGAAUUGAGGGGGGCUGCUCCUAGUACGAGAGGACCGGAGUGGACGCAUCACUGGUGUUCGGGUUGUCAUGCCAAUGGCACUGCCCGGUAGCUAAAUGCGGAAGAGAUAAGUGCUGAAAGCAUCUAAGCACGAAACUUGCCCCGAGAUGAGUUCUCCCUGAGACUUUAAGUCUCCUGAAGGAACGUU